RNAcentral lists this ribosomal RNA (429 nucleotides) under Bacteroidota bacterium. RNAcentral describes it as "Bacteroidetes bacterium partial 16S ribosomal RNA". It matches the Rfam family "Bacterial small subunit ribosomal RNA", at positions 355 to 776 of the family's 1533-position model. Lineage: Bacteria; Pseudomonadati; Bacteroidota. The record is from RNAcentral.
UAGGGAAUCUUCCGCAAUGGACGCAAGUCUGACGGAGCAACGCCGCGUGAGUGAAGAAGGAUUUCGGUUCGUAAAACUCUGUUGUUAGAGAAGAACAGCGCAUAGAGUAACUGUUAUGCGUGUGACGGUAUCUAACCAGAAAGCCACGGCUAACUACGUGCCAGCAGCCGCGGUAAUACGUAGGUGGCAAGCGUUGUCCGGAUUUAUUGGGCGUAAAGCGAGCGCAGGCGGUCAAUUAAGUCUGAUGUGAAAGCCCCCGGCUCAACCGGGGAGGGUCAUUGGAAACUGGUUGACUUGAGUGCAGAAGAGGAGGGUGGAAUUCCAUGUGUAGCGGUGAAAUGCGUAGAUAUAGGGAGGAACACCAGUGGCGAAGGCGACUCUCUGGUCUGUAACUGACGCUGAGGCUCGAAAGCGUGGGUAGCAAACAGG